UUGGCUGGAAACAGACAUAUUUGUUUAGGAUUUUAAAGCAUAACAUGAAACACAGAAACUGUAAACUAAAAGAGUGAUACAUUUGACAACAUAAAAAUCUAAAACCUCUUCCUUGGGUUUCCUCUUGAAUUCACUUCAGUUCAGCUGUUGUUUCUAAUUGAUUUGAGGCCAGUUGGUAAAGGGGGAGUACCAGUGGGCCCUGGGAAGGCCCGGGGCCUGGGUCUGGAGCCAGCUCUGCCUCUCACUGUAUGACCAGAGGGUAGUCGUCCCCUCUGAACUUCAAUCCUCUGACCUGGAAAACAGGGGACUGGAUAAGCUAUUCCCAGAAGUACUUCUGGUCCUGAUACAGUCCACCCAUCAACCAGGUAGUACCCAUUGUUUGUUCAUCUUUGCCUCUGUGACAUCCAACUCUCAGGGCCUCCGUUCCACCCCAAAGCAGCCUUCUUAGUCCUAUUUCCCUUUUUAAAUAUAAUUUAGUUUUUAUUUGAUUUAUGGACUCAGUCCCAGUCACUAAACUUCAUUCAGCUUGGACGGCUUAUUGAUUUUCAAUAACAGUGGAGCAGAAAAAUAAAGAGAUGACAGCAGCACUUGGCUGCAGACCCAGGGCCAGCCACGGGAGGCAGGAAUUAAUCAUCUCGGGGUGAUCACUCAGGCUGUCCCUGGCAGGGCAGCGACCCAGGGAGCUCAGCCAGCCUGGGACAGUGCAGCAAGCCACGCAAUGAUCGUCUGCUUGUGAUAACGUGAGCUCACCAGAUUGUCUCAUCCAGGUUCUAAUCCCAGCAUUACCUGAGCCACCCUUCCCCCUCAAGGAUGCCUGCACUUUUCUGAAACCCACGAGGAGCUCUGCAGCAAAGAAACAGAACUUUCAGUUUCUGGAGAUUAUGCUGAUUCUCCAGGGUCUUAAAGAAUCCAGAUGAGAUAGCCAGUGCUACAGCUGCCUUCUUGCAACCAUAAGGGAAAGGCUAAGAGAACCAGAGACUGCAGCUCUGACUUGCUUGAACUACUGAGUCAAUGCAAGACACUGCCUACUUCUAGACUCAUGUGAGAAAAAUCCCUGCAGGGCGUCAGGUGGAGAAGUUAUGUAGGAGGAGCUGCUUGCAGGCAUCAGUUACGUCUUGGCUUUUGUUCCUGAGCUGCUUGAGGGGUCUGUGCGUGGGAGGAAGGGAAACAGAACUGGCCUCUGAGACAGGAGAUUCGCCAUGUCUGGGAGCAGGACCCACUCCUCAGCACUCCUCAGAAGGAAGCGGCUGGAUAACUCCAAGGAGCCUGGGUUCUGUGUCCACAGCAUCCAGGCUCAACAAAAAUUCCUGGGCACCACAGAUGGCACAGAGGCCUCGGGGCUGAUAGCAGUGACCAUGUGCAGGCCAGGAGGGCGGCUGCCAGACAAAGGGCUGGGAGGCCUGCACCCUGUGGGCCUGGGGAGGGUGAGACGCCUCUUUCAGUCUCUGAAAUGACUGAGCUUGAGUGGGUACCCCCAUCCUGAUAGGGGUGGGGGAGGUGA
Long non-coding RNA from Callithrix jacchus (white-tufted-ear marmoset), 1501 nucleotides. RefSeq lists it as uncharacterized. Lineage: Eukaryota; Metazoa; Chordata; Mammalia; Primates; Cebidae. The record is from RefSeq and is a predicted model, not a curated record.